RNAcentral lists this small nuclear RNA (84 nucleotides) under Fukomys damarensis (Damara mole-rat). RNAcentral describes it as "U4 spliceosomal RNA (ENSFDAG00000003445.1)". It matches the Rfam family "U4 spliceosomal RNA", at positions 1 to 84 of the family's 138-position model. Rfam says of the family: U4 small nuclear RNA (U4 snRNA) is a component of the major U2-dependent spliceosome. The structure of U4 snRNA from yeast and human has been reported. The record is from RNAcentral. Lineage: Eukaryota; Metazoa; Chordata; Mammalia; Rodentia; Bathyergidae.
AGCUUUGUGCAUUGGCAGUAUCAUAGCCAAUGAGGUUUAUCUGAGGUACGAUUAUUGCCAAAUGAAAAUGAUUCUCAAGUUCCA